GGGGUACGCCGUCCCCGAAUCGGCACAAUAUGCAAUCCCGCCACCAUGACAGCAGUGGAGAGCCCUGUCCAGUGACAGCCAAGAGGUGGUGGGGGUUGGGGUCUGGGAGCCGGGCAUCAUCGCCGUCCCCCAGAUGUCUCCGACCACCUUCCUUUCUGGCCUCCCAACUGUCCCUCUAAAACAUCUUCGAUGCAGCAUGUUGAGACUUCUCUGCAAGCCCGGAGCCCCUGACCCCUGCCCCAGCUCACAGGAGCUGCGCCCACCCCUGCCCAAGCCGGGAGCCUCUGAGGUCUGGCGUGGGGACCAAAGCGGAAGCUGAGGACGAGCGCCUGCUUCUCCCUGGGGCUCAGUGGCCCCAUCUGGAAGGGGAUGGGACUGCACUCACACCGACGCAUGCCAGUAUAAAAGGGGCCGUGGACCCCAAGGAUCCCGAGGCCGGAGGGUCUCGGGGCCCAUGGGCACCGCCACACCCGGCCCGGGGGGUCCGCUACCUGUGCCGACAGCCUGCUUUGUGGCCCAGGUGCACACGGGCAUCGAAGAGACUUCUCACAGAAAACAACUCCUUGACGUUGAAGAAGUCGGAGUGCUUCAGGGGCUCACUGAGGAUCUUGUCGCUGACAUCUGGGAUGGGGGGAGAGGAUGCCGUGUCUGUGGCCCCCCAGCUCCCAACCCUGGAGGGGAGCAACAUGGGGGCGGGGAGGGGCAGUGAAGCCCAGCAGAUGAAGGUGAUGGGGCCACGGGGUCCGCUCCAGGAGACGGAGGUGGGAGCCAGGUUCCGACCGCCGCUCUGCUCCUGGGUAACCCCAGUCCGGUCUUCACCCAGAAAGGAGGGGCCCAGCUGGUUUCUGAGGUCCUUCUGGUACCUCCCAGCCACCAGAGGAAGGUCCCCCCAUCAGGAGUCCAGGGAGGACUCAGCGGUCCAGAGGGCACCUCCCAAGGAGCCGAGCCCCGUGUUAACGUCACCCCGGGGGCGCGGUGGCCUUAGCCCCAUCCUCAGAUGACGGUGGCUGACGGAGGGCAGGGCAGCGCCGCNNNNNNNNNNNNNNNNNNNNNNNNNNNNNNNNNNNNNNNNNNNNNNN
RNAcentral lists this long non-coding RNA (1079 nucleotides) under Ursus maritimus (polar bear). Its description in RNAcentral is "lncRNA (ENSUMAG00000023667.1)". Lineage: Eukaryota; Metazoa; Chordata; Mammalia; Carnivora; Ursidae. The record is from RNAcentral.